RNAcentral lists this ribosomal RNA (376 nucleotides) under uncultured Methylococcaceae bacterium. RNAcentral describes it as "partial 16S ribosomal RNA". It matches the Rfam family "Bacterial small subunit ribosomal RNA", at positions 283 to 651 of the family's 1533-position model. Lineage: Bacteria; Pseudomonadati; Pseudomonadota; Gammaproteobacteria; Methylococcales; Methylococcaceae. The record is from RNAcentral.
GUAGCUGGUCUGAGAGGAYGAUCAGCCACACUGGAACUGAGACACGGUCCAGACUCCUACGGGAGGCAGCAGUGGGGAAUAUUGGACAAUGGGGGCAASCCUGAUCCAGCAAUGCCGCGUGUGUGAAGAAGGCCUGCGGGUUGUAAAGCACUUUCAGCRGGGAGGAAGGCUSUUAGGYUAAUACCYUUGGAGAUKGACGUUACCUGCAGAAUAAGCACCGGCUAACUCCGUGCCAGCAGCCGCGGUAAUACGGAGGGUGCGAGCGUUAAUCGGAAUUACUGGGCGUAAAGCGCGCGUAGGCGGUUGACUAAGUUUGCUGUGAAAGCCCCGGGCUUAACCUGGGAACUGCAGUGAAUACUGGUGARCUAGAGUAUGG